Molecule: small nuclear RNA, 18 nt
Filed under: Arabidopsis thaliana (thale cress)
Lineage: Eukaryota; Viridiplantae; Streptophyta; Magnoliopsida; Brassicales; Brassicaceae
Description: snRNA_03156
Source: RNAcentral
CAUGUGUGCGAGUCAACG